Molecule: ribosomal RNA, 711 nt
Filed under: Planococcus sp. (in: firmicutes)
Lineage: Bacteria; Bacillati; Bacillota; Bacilli; Caryophanales; Caryophanaceae
Description: bacterial SSU rRNA
Rfam family: Bacterial small subunit ribosomal RNA
Source: RNAcentral
CUGGUCUGUAACUGACGCUGAGGCGCGAAGCGUGGGGAGCAAACAGGAUUAGAUACCUGGUAGUCACGCCGUAAACGAUGAGUGCUAAGUGUUAGGGGGUUUCCGCCCCUUAGUGCUGCAGCUAACGCAUUAAGCACUCCGCCUGGGGAGUACGGCCGCAAGGCUGAAACUCAAAGGAAUUGACGGGGGCCCGCACAAGCGGUGGAGCAUGUGGUUUAAUUCGAAGCAACGCGAAGAACCUUACCAGGUCUUGACAUCCCACUGCCCGGUGUAGAGAUACACUUUUCCCUUCGGGGACAGUGGUGACAGGUGGUGCAUGGUUGUCGUCAGCUCGUGUCGUGAGAUGUUGGGUUAAGUCCCGCAACGAGCGCAACCCUUGAUYUUAGUUGCCAGCAUUCAGUUGGGCACUCUAAGGUGACUGCCGGUGACAAACCGGAGGAAGGUGGGGAUGACGUCAAAUCAUCAUGCCCCUUAUGACCUGGGCUACACACGUGCUACAAUGGACGGUACAAAGGGUUGCCAACCCGCGAGGGGGAGCCAAUCCCAGAAAACCGUUCUCAGUUCGGAUUGUAGGCUGCAACUCGCCUGCAUGAAGCCGGAAUCGCUAGUAAUCGUGGAUCAGCAUGCCACGGUGAAUACGUUCCCGGGCCUUGUACACACCGCCCGUCACACCACGAGARUWWGUAACACCCGAAGUCGGUGAGGUAACCC